Non-coding RNA from Morus notabilis, 139 nucleotides. The record is from Rfam. NCBI's taxonomy places the organism in Eukaryota, Viridiplantae, Streptophyta, Magnoliopsida, Rosales, Moraceae.
CCUCUUGAUCAUGAAGACUUAAAAGAGAAAAUCCUUGCCGGUCCGGAUGAUGACUAUAAAGCCAUCAUUGACAUCGUUGAAGGCCGUGACACGCCUAUUUCUUUCGAUGAACUUCAUGAGAAACUGAUUACUCGUGAGU